Molecule: long non-coding RNA, 863 nt
Filed under: Capra hircus (goat)
Lineage: Eukaryota; Metazoa; Chordata; Mammalia; Artiodactyla; Bovidae
Description: lncRNA (ENSCHIG00010019522.1)
Source: RNAcentral
CACAAGGAUGUUUCUCUGAUUCCUCAAAAGGAACGGACCCAGGGACAAAAUGGUUUCUAAGCUGAUAAGGAAGUUCUCAAAACAAAGUCUUAGCUGCAGCAAAUAAGUUAAAGAAAAGGUUAUCUCGCCCCGCGCCUGCGCACUGUAUAGUUGCUGAAUCAUAGUGCUUGGCAACUUGCCCUGUAGAUUGUUGUGCAAAAGAUAUAAAGUAAAGCAGCUGCGAGAAGCGGGAGGAAAAAAUAGAAAGAUUCAAACCACCCUGCAGUGUUGGUGUUUCAUUCCGUCGCUAGCACCCACUGUCCAGAGCUUUUCCUCAUGCUCCAAUGUGGAAAUAAUAUUCAGAUCAGAAACAGAAAUUCUGGGACUUCCCUGGUGAUCCAGUGGUUAAGACUCUGCAUUUCCAAUGCAGGGGGUACAGGUCUGAUCCUUAGUCAGGGAACUAAGAUCCUACAUAUGGAAUGGCACAGCCAAAAAUAGUAAACAAGCAAGCAAAAACAAACAAGUAGAUAUUCAGUGUUAUCAGAAGAAAGAAAUCUAAAGUGCUCUGGAUUUUUUUAAACACUGAGCAAAAGUCAAAAGGCAGAAAAUAGGAAAUUGGNNNNNNNNNNNNNNNNNNNNNNNNNNNNNNNNNGAGCUUUGUAGAUAAUUAAGCUCUGGGACAACCUCAGAUAUGACAUGAAAUAGACACAGAAUCUGAAGAGGGUCAGUCUAACCUUGUGAAGCUGUGUCAUGCCCCAGUCACCAGAACUCUCACAUGUAAGACAUCAGGCCUCCCAAGGGGCACACAGGGAAAAUGCAGAUACCCAAGGGCACCUCUGGAAGGAAGUCAUCCUCACCCACAGACAGAAGGUUCCUAUAGGUCU